UGCUUGCUUCCCCUUCACCUUCGGCCAUGAUUCUAAGUUUCCUGACGCCUCCCAGUCGUGCUUCCUAUUAAGCCUGUGGAACUGACCCAAAAUCAAAUCAG
Nomascus leucogenys (northern white-cheeked gibbon) is the source of this 101-nucleotide long non-coding RNA. RefSeq lists it as uncharacterized. Lineage: Eukaryota; Metazoa; Chordata; Mammalia; Primates; Hylobatidae. The record is from RefSeq and is a predicted model, not a curated record. The transcript is spliced from 3 exons.